CGGCGGACGGGUGAGUAACACGUGGAUAACCUACCUAUAAGACUGGGAUAACUUCGGGAAACCGUAGCUAAUACCGGAUAAUAUUUUGAACCGCAUGGUUCAAAAGUGAAAGACGGUCUUGCUGUCACUUAUAGAUGGAUCCGCGCUGCAUUAGCUAGUUGGUAAGGUAACGGCUUACCAAGGCAACGAUGUAUAGCCGACCUGAGAGGGUGAUCGGCCACACUGGAACUGAGACACGGUCCAG
This 244-nucleotide ribosomal RNA is filed under the name uncultured Staphylococcus sp. Its description in RNAcentral is "partial 16S ribosomal RNA". It matches the Rfam family "Bacterial small subunit ribosomal RNA", at positions 96 to 334 of the family's 1533-position model. Lineage: Bacteria; Bacillati; Bacillota; Bacilli; Caryophanales; Staphylococcaceae. The record is from RNAcentral.